RNAcentral lists this ribosomal RNA (759 nucleotides) under uncultured prokaryote. Its description in RNAcentral is "bacterial SSU rRNA". It matches the Rfam family "Bacterial small subunit ribosomal RNA", at positions 708 to 1482 of the family's 1533-position model. The record is from RNAcentral.
AAUUGCGAAGGCAGCUUANUAGGCUACAACUGACGCUGAAGCACGAAAGCGUGGGGAUCAAACAGGAUUAGAUACCCUGGUAGUCCACGCAGUAAACGAUGAUAACUAGCUGUUUGCGAUACACAGUAAGCGGCACAGCGAAAGCGUUAAGUUAUCCACCUGGGGAGUACGCCGGCAACGGUGAAACUCAAAGGAAUUGACGGGGGCCCGCACAAGCGGAGGAACAUGUGGUUUAAUUCGAUGAUACGCGAGGAACCUUACCCGGGCUUGAACGUAGGGAGACAGUUCUGGAAACAGAAUCUCUAGCAAUAGCUGCCUACGAGGUGCUGCAUGGUUGUCGUCAGCUCGUGCCGUGAGGUGUCGGCUUAAGUGCCAUAACGAGCGCAACCCACAUCGAUAGUUACUAACAGGUUAAGCUGAGGACUCUAUCGAGACUGCCGACGUAAGUCGUGAGGAAGGUGGGGAUGACGUCAAAUCAGCACGGCCCUUACGUCCAGGGCUACACACGUGUUACAAUGGGGGGUACAAAGGGCAGCUACCUGGCGACAGGAUGCUAAUCUCAAAAACCUCUCUCAGUUCGGAUUGGAGUCUGCAACCCGACUCCAUGAAGCUGGAUUCGCUAGUAAUCGCGCAUCAGCCACGGCGCGGUGAAUACGUUCCCGGGCCUUGUACACACCGCCCGUCAAGCCAUGGGAGCCGGGGGGACCUGAAGUAUGCAACCGUAAGGAGCGUCCUAGGGUAAAACUGGUGACUGGGGCU